GCACUGCUGAAGAGUCCUAAAAUGAGACGAAACAGCCGUCCAGUGC
Schistosoma curassoni is the source of this 46-nucleotide non-coding RNA. Lineage: Eukaryota; Metazoa; Platyhelminthes; Trematoda; Strigeidida; Schistosomatidae. The record is from Rfam.